AUGUGCUCUCUAAAAAAGAGCACAGAAGACGAGAAUAUAAAGGGACUUUAUCCUGCCCGAGGGGGAAAAUCAUCCUACUUCCAUAGUGUGCUGGGGAUUGCUUCACACACUGUCCACUGCCGCCACCCACUGCAGUCUAUGGCAGCACAUGGUGGGAAUGGUUUGGAGGACUUGUGUUCUGAGGUCAUCAGGAAGACCAAAAUGAUCUUUUGUACUGCAAGGUGCUAACACUUGAUAUAGAUGAAAAUCUACAUAAACCAACGUAUCUGUCUGCAACAGGUAGGUACUAUUUAAAUGCCUUUUAGGGAGAAGGGAGAAGGUCUGAAGCUUGGCCGUGUCUUUAGCUUCUUUCCCAAUAUCUAGGCUUUGCCAUCCAGGAAAAAUCCAGAGCAGUGUACUAAAUCAAAGUAAUUGAUUGCAAAAAAAAAAAAAAAAAAAAAAAAAAAGUAAUUGAUUGCUUUACUGAGUGGUAACUUGACAGUUUAGAGAGUUGGACUUCUGUGGUUAUUGUUUGUAUAAAUAAUGUGUUUUAUGAACCAUAGUGAUAUGUGAUAAAAUCUCAUAAACACCUAUAGAUGUACUCAAAUCACCUUAGAUUAGGUAGUGGACUUUUAAUAAAACUUCUGCACAUUUGCUUGUAGAUUUCCUGGUUGAUUUCUUAGAAUCCUGGCAGCUUCUGAGCAACAGUUUUUUUCUAAGACUCUGAGGCAGUAGUUAUAUCGUUUAACAAUCCAAUCAGUAGUUUUAUCCUUAUUCUGGAUACACUUCCAUUAUAAACAGUUGAUGGAAAUACACACACACACAAACGUGUGUGUGUGCAUAUACACACACACAGGUCCGUACAUAAAAGCCAUUAUCCCUCAUAAGUUUUUCAUCUAUAUUCAUAAGCCAAAACUGAGUACUAUUGAGGAGCAUAUGGUUCUCUAAAAAUCUAUUAAGGAAAAAUUUGGAUUUAAGGGAAAUAAUUAUCCAUUAAAUUCUCAAAACAUUCUUGGAGCACCUGGGUGGCUCAGUUGAUCAAGUGUCUGACUCUUGAUAUCAGCUCAAAUCAUGAUCUUAGGGUCAUGAGUUCAGGUUCUUCAUUGGGCUCCAUAUAAAUAAUAAUAAAUAUUAUUAAAAUAAUAAUAAUAAUAAAAUAAAAGGAAAUUCUUAGAACAUUUUCAAUCUAGACUUUACCCUUAAGUGGAAAGAAUGGAGAAAUUUAAUAUGUCCAAUUUUUUGAAUCAUUUUCCCUCUGUUCUGUGCAAGAAAAACCAAUAUAAUUAAUGUGGUAUUGGUGUUAUUUUCUUAUUCUAGUUAGCUUACUUUAAUAAUAUCACUUAAUAUUCUUUUAUACUAAGUUUCUGAGUUGUUCAUGUACAAUGAAUGUAUCUGUGUUGUGAUUUCCUAGAUUCUUCAUGGAAUGUACUAUUUUAUUUCUGGAUAUCUGAUCAUAUUUAAAUGCCUUAAACUUUCCUGGUCAAAGAGUAACUUCUUUUCCCUUUAAUAUUCUGCAGAGGAAUUAAGCAGAUUCUUACAGGUUGAAAUGUUUAAAUAUGUCUUCAGAACACUCAUGGGAGAAACAGUAGCUCUGUCACAUUUUUAGCAGCAAAACACUUAAAAGAAGUAGCUGUCCAACAAAACUAAAACUGCUUGUGAAGUCCACUAGAGAUAAUCCCAUCCUAAAUUACUUGGCUGCAUUAGUACAUUCGUAUAAAAAAGAGCAAAAAAUAACAGGAAGGUAAGAUAGUUGUGUCUGAAACACUUGAGGUACUGAUAUAUAUUAACAGACAUCAGUUUCUAACUUGUGCUUUCAAAUUAUGAAAGGAAAUUAGUUUGAGAUGCUUUCUAUCUCAUUUUUGGAAAAUUUAAGAUAAUUUUAGAAUAGGUUAGAUUUAGAAUAGGUUUUUUUUCUUAGUUUGAAGAAAUAGUUGAGAAAGUAAAUAGGAAUUGUGUGCCAUGGCCUCUCCUCCAUCAACUGGAUCUCAGAAACAGCGUUCUGCUCUUCCUCUUGGCUUACAGAAACCAAGUUUCUGUACUUCUGCUGCUAGGUGGACACUGUGGGUGGACGGGGAGGGACAGAAGGAAUAGAAUACACAGACUUCUCUUUCCAUUUCAGUUUUCUAUCAUCUAUCGGCUAUGAAUGACCAAGCCUUGUUUCUGCCCACUUGCAGCCCCCUGAAAUGAAGCUGUAAGAGAUCACCACCCCCUAGCCCCCGCCAACAUUCACAAAUUGAUAGCUUCUGGGUCACAUUAGAAUGUUUUAAUUUUUUUAAAUUCAACUUUGCUUUUUUUGUUCUUUGCUUCUUUUAAAGUAAACUUUGUAUUCAAGUAC
This 2314-nucleotide long non-coding RNA is filed under the name Canis lupus familiaris (dog). RNAcentral describes it as "lncRNA (ENSCAFG00040019783.1)". Lineage: Eukaryota; Metazoa; Chordata; Mammalia; Carnivora; Canidae. The record is from RNAcentral.